RNAcentral lists this ribosomal RNA (253 nucleotides) under uncultured bacterium. Its description in RNAcentral is "partial 16S ribosomal RNA". It matches the Rfam family "Bacterial small subunit ribosomal RNA", at positions 524 to 776 of the family's 1533-position model. The record is from RNAcentral.
UACGGGGGGAGCAAGCGUUGUUCGGAUUUACUGGGCGUAAAGCGUGCGCAGGCGGCCAUCCAAGUCAGUGGUGAAAGCCCGGGGCUCAACUCCGGAAUUGCCUUUAAGACUGCAUCGCUAGAAUUGUGGAGAGGUGAGUGGAAUUCCGAGUGUAGAGGUGAAAUUCGUAGAUAUUCGGAAGAACACCAGUGGCGAAGGCGACUCACUGGACACAUAUUGACGCUGAGGUGCGAAAGCGUGGGGAGCAAACAGG